UACGUAGGUGGCAAGCGUUGUCCGGAUUUAUUGGGUUUAAAGGGUGCGUAGGCGGCCUUGUAAGUCAGUGCUGAAAUAUCCCGGCUUAACCGGGAGGGUGGCAUUGAUACUGCAGGGCUUGAGUAAAGUUGAGGUUGGCGGAAUUGACGGUGUAGCGGUGAAAUGCUUAGAUAUCGUCAAGAACACCGAUAGUGAAGGCAGCUAACUAAGCUUUAACUGACGCUGAGGCACGAAAGUGUGGGGAUCAAACAGG
This 253-nucleotide ribosomal RNA is filed under the name uncultured bacterium. RNAcentral's name for it is "partial 16S ribosomal RNA". It matches the Rfam family "Bacterial small subunit ribosomal RNA", at positions 524 to 776 of the family's 1533-position model. The record is from RNAcentral.